GACGAACGCUGGCGGUGUGCUUAACACAUGCAAGUCGAACGGAAAGGCCCUGCUUUUGUGGGGUGCUCGAGUGGCGAACGGGUGAGUAACACGUGAGUAACCUGCCCUUGACUUUGGGAUAACUUCAGGAAACUGGGGCUAAUACCGGAUAGGAGCUCCUGCUGCAUGGUGGGGGUUGGAAAGUUUCGGCGGUUGGGGAUGGACUCGCGGCUUAUCAGCUUGUUGGUGGGGUAGUGGCUUACCAAGGCUUUGACGGGUAGCCGGCCUGAGAGGGUGACCGGCCACAUUGGGACUGAGAUACGGCCCAGACUCCUACGGGAGGCAGCAGUGGGGAAUAUUGCACAAUGGGCGGAGGCCUGAUGCAGCAACGCCGCGUGCGGGAAGACGGCCUUAGGGUUGUAAACCGCUUUCGCCUGUGACGAAGCGUGAGUGACGGUAAUGGGUAAAGAAGCACCGGCUAACUACGUG
This 468-nucleotide ribosomal RNA is filed under the name uncultured bacterium. RNAcentral's name for it is "partial 16S ribosomal RNA". It matches the Rfam family "Bacterial small subunit ribosomal RNA", at positions 28 to 507 of the family's 1533-position model. The record is from RNAcentral.